Molecule: ribosomal RNA, 604 nt
Filed under: uncultured fungus
Lineage: Eukaryota; Fungi
Description: eukaryotic LSU rRNA
Rfam family: 5.8S ribosomal RNA (bases 167-320)
Source: RNAcentral
AGGAUCUUCACAAUGAGUGUUUUAUGGCACUCUUUAAAAAUCCAUAUCCACCUUGUGUGCAAUGUUUGUUGGGAGAGAGGCAACUCUUUCCCUUCACAAAUAUCAACCUAUAUCUUUAACAACAUUCGUCUGAUAACAUAUUAUGAAUAUACUUAAUUCAAAAUAUAACUUUCAACAACGGAUCUCUUGGCUCUCGCAUCGAUGAAGAACGCAGCGAAAUGCGAUACGUAAUGUGAAUUGCAGAAUUCAGUGAAUCAUCGAAUCUUUGAACGCAUAUUGCGCUCUUUGGUAUUCCGAAGAGCAUGCUUGUUUGAGUAUCAGUAAACACCUCAACCUCUCUUUUUGACAAAAAAAAAAGGAGGGUGGACUUGAGCUAUCCCAACGACCUUCACCGGUAGGCGGGCGGCUUGAAAUGCAGGUGCAGCUGGACUUUUAUCUGAGCUAAAAGCAUAUCUAUUUAGUCCUCGUCAAACAGGAUUAUUACUUUUGCUGCAGCUAACAUAAAGGAUAAUUGUCCUCUUUGCUGACUGAUGCAGGAUUUUACGACACUUUAUGUGUUGUUCAACUCGAUCUCAAAUCAAGUAAGACUACCCGCUGAACUUAA